AAUCCGUGUUGUGGGCACCACCGCAAAAGAUCCUUGAAGCGCUCCCAUGUCUCAAACAAUGACUCCAACUCCAUCUGUACAAACGAUGAUAUCUCAUUGGGAAGCUU
Molecule: small nucleolar RNA, 107 nt
Organism: Dioscorea cayenensis subsp. rotundata (Guinea yam)
Lineage: Eukaryota; Viridiplantae; Streptophyta; Magnoliopsida; Dioscoreales; Dioscoreaceae
Source: RefSeq, a predicted model, not a curated record